Molecule: RNA transcript, 4079 nt
Organism: Oncorhynchus kisutch (coho salmon)
Lineage: Eukaryota; Metazoa; Chordata; Actinopteri; Salmoniformes; Salmonidae
Gene: ppfibp2b
Gene name: PPFIA binding protein 2b
Exons: 29
Source: RefSeq, a predicted model, not a curated record
UUACACGUGAUUACAGUAAUUUGUUGCAGAUUUGAGUUUACAUGUCGUCUUUUUCACGUAUUGGGAAUGAUGAGUAGCUAGAGCACAUGGGCUGUGUAGUUUGAUGGGAUGGCACACCCUUAGAAUCACAUGAUAGGUGAUUGGUGGAGAGGCUUUAUGAUGAACACACUUAUGGCGUUGGCAGCGCAAAGGCACAGUCGGUCAAUGCGCGGAGCAUCCCAUCGCUGAAGACACCACUUACAGUGCCAAGGACCAUUUUAAAUCCAAGGUGGUCAAUAGUGUAUUUUGCAAGUUGCAGGGGAGGAAUACGCGCUGGAGAGCAAGUCUCCGAAGUCGAGGAUAUUAUAGGACACUAAGCAUAGCGGCUGAUGCAGUAGUCUGUCGCCAUGGCCUCAGAUGCAAGUCACAUGUUGGAGGCGGCCUUGGAGCAAAUGGAUGACAUCAUCGCAGGCUCCAAGGCUGCAGCCGAGUACACCAACGGCCUGUUUGAGCUGGGUUCCCCAGGUAGCGCAGGGCCCCUGCAGGUUCUACAGCUGGUUGAGGACCUGAGGCUGGCCCUGGAGCUGCAGCCCAGAGAGGAGGAGAGGAACACCCUGAGGGCCCAGGUCCCCAGCAGCACUGCUCACAUGCUCAUGGACUGGCUGGACAUGGACAGGGGCUCAGACAGGGGCUCGGUUAACCUUCGCUCCCCGGUGAACAAUGAGAGCUAUCAGGAGCGUCUGGUUCGCCUAGAGGGGGACAAAGAGUCUCUGGUUCUCCAGGUGAGCGUGCUCACAGACCAGGUGGAGGCCCAAGGAGAGAAGAUCCGAGACCUGGAGAGCUCUCUGGAGGAGCACCACCACAAACUCAACUCCACUGAGGAAAUGCUACAGCAGGAGCUGCUGAGCCGGAACUCGUUGGAGACCCAGAAACUAGAUCUGAUGGAUGAGGUUUCCUACCUGAAACUGAAGCUGGUCGGCAUGGACGAGAAACAGAACCACAACGACAGCAGCAAGGACCAGCAGAACAAAGCUGAGUGUGUGGUAAAUCUGAUAAGCGAGCUCCAGGAGCAGAUGUGUAGGUUUCAGGAAGAGAUCCACACCCGCAUCAUGGAGAAACGGGCCAUGGAGGCCCAGGGGGAGAGUGGUGCCCGCGAGGCCCAUGACCAGAGCCCUGACGUGGGCUUGGGUGGCACUGACAUGGAGGAGUUUUGCUGUUGCUGUGGAGGACAGAAUGGCUUACUGCAAGAACUCAGGCUCCUCAAGAGUAAAGUGGAUGUGCUGGAGGGGGAGAAAUUGCAGUAUGAGAGAAAACUAAAGGCCACGAAGGUGGAGAUAGCAGACUUACAGCAGAUACUGGCUUCCAAAGACUCUGAGAUCGAGGGCCUUCAGAGCCAGCUGGUCUCCAGAGGCCCAAUGACCAAUGAGAAUCCAGAGAGAGUGGAGGUCUUUAGGAGACUGCUGACAGACCAAUACCAAGAAUUCCAAAGGUUGAAAAUGGGGAUGGAGUCGUUGUUAGCGGCAAAUGAUGAGAAAGACCGUCACAUAGAGGAGCUCACUAUUCUCCUGAGACAGUACAGGAAGAUGAAGGAGGUGAUGGCCCUCGCACAAGUGACCAGUGAGAAGCUCCUUGUUGGGAGCAGUGAGGAGGAACUGAGUGGGAGUCUGAAGAUGAGAGCUCUCACACAUAAAGCUCAUUCAGACAUCAUCCGUUCAGAGAUGUCUUCCAGGUGCUCCUCUCCUCUGUUAAGGUCUUCCUCAUCCUUCCAGAAAGAGCUGAACUCUAGUAUCCAGACCUCCCUGGAGACGUCCAUGGUGAUGGUCUCCCCGAGCGAUGCUGGCUGCUUCCACAACGGACAAUGGUCCCAACCACAGAUGCUUUCAAGCAGCCUGGAGGAGUUACAAAGCAGAUCGUUACCAAAGCAUGUAGUGGGUCAACCAGUUGAAGCGGUUUCAGAGAAUCGGCACAUGGAAAUGAACAAAUAUCAGACCCUACCAGGGAAGCUAUCUCGACCUGACAUGAAUGGGGAUCAAGAGCAGUAUGCCACACCAGUCCAGCUGUCCCCUGACGAUAGCGAGGACAGUGAGUUGAACCUAAGAAAGUCGGAGAGACUGGAUGAGUCCACGCAGUCGGACCUGUCCCCCCUGUCGUCUGGAGUGGACUCAGGAAAGCAGUCUCCUGUCUCCCCAGAGAACAAGAAGAACCACCUGGGCAUCAAGAAACUCUGGGGGAAGAUUCGGAGGACCCAGUCUGGCACCCUGCAGAGAGAGGACCUUGAGCCUGGAGAGUUUAAGAGGGGGGGACUGAGAGCCACCGCCAGCCCUCGUCUUGCCCGGACUGGAGAGACAUUGACGUCUGUGUGGGAUUUGAAGACACCCUUCUCCAAGUGGACUCCGGAGCAGGUCUGUUGCUGGCUAGAGGAGAGUGGGCUGGACCAGUAUGUGAUUCUGGCCCAACAUUGGGCCAACAGUGGGCAGACCCUCCUCUCCGCCUCACCACAGGACUUAGAGAAGGAAAUGGGGAUUAAGAAUCCACUGCACAGGAAGAAGUUACAGUUGGCCCUCAAGUCCUUCAGCACCAAAACGACUGAGAAAUCCUCUGAACUGGACCACAUCUGGGUCACACGUUGGCUUGAUGACAUUGGUUUACCUCAAUACAAGAGUCAGUUUCACGAGGGAAGAGUAGACGGCAGAAUGAUUCAGUACUUGACAGUGAAUGACCUCUUGUUCCUGAAAGUGACCAGUCAGCUCCAUCAUCUCAGUGUGAAGUGUGCUAUCCACGUCCUCCACGUCAACAAGUUCAACCCCAACUGCCUGAAGAGAAGACCUGGAGAUGAGAACAAGACUUCUCCCUCGGAGGUGGUUCAGUGGUCGAACCACAGGGUGAUGGAGUGGCUUCGCUCAGUGGACCUGGCGGAAUACGCACCCAACCUGAGGGGCAGCGGGGUGCACGGGGGCCUCAUCAUUCUGGAGCCUCGUUUUAACUCAGAUACCCUGGCCAUGCUGCUGAACAUCCCCCCUCAGAAGACCCUGCUGCGACGUCACCUGGCCACCAACUUUAACAUGCUGGUGGGCUCCCAGGCUCAGCAGGAGAAGAGGGAGUUCAUGGAGUCUUUAGGCUAUGCUCCGCUCAGCACCACAGCCAAAGUCAGGCCAAAGAAGUUGGGCUUCUCAAACUUUGGCCACCUGAGGAAGAAGAGGUGUGACGAGUCAACAGACUACAUUUGCCCCCUGGAGGCGGCCCAGGUUCAGGCGGUGCUGAACGGGGCCCACCGGCCCUACUCCGGCUUCAGGGGCCUCAGCCCCAUCCUAGACAGAGACCCAGACAGACGGCAGCAGGUGGGGCCAAACAGCUGAUGAUGUCAAACUACUGUACCUACCUACCCAUCACUACUCAGCUUGCAGCCAAUAACCCCACCUCUUCCUGCCAUGCCUAUCCAACUCACCCCAGCACACUCACCUCCACACCCCUUAUGUGCCAUCAUCUAACAAUCAACCCCAGCCUCAGGCAUGAGCUGCACUCUGGACACUUAAGAGUGGAUGAUGGCGGUGACAGAGGGGCCUGUGCUGCAGAUAGAAGCUCUGUCUGAGGGAAUUAACCAACUCACGUAUUUGCUUAGCCGAGAUGAGGUUCUGAAGGAGAUGAGACGCCCUCAAACAGCACUAGUCUGAGAGGAUGCCACGCUGGCCACGCUAACCAACACAGCCAAUCAACCAAGGGAAAGCGCGGCCUCAUACCAACCCAAACUCAACGUAGGGUGCUUUACCAGCAACCUCAACUGGCACUUAUCUCAUCAUAAUACAGGACUAUAAUGAACACUACUUCUGUAUUAGUGACAGAAACACAAUGAACGUUGAAGCCAUUGUCUUACGUGUGUCAUUGGAGUGUAGCUCUUUCAAACUUAAUAGUGUAUGUACUUUGUAUUUUUGGUGAAAAGUAUAGGCCUACCGCAAGCCACUUAAACAUGUAUUAAAGUGUUCUUUUCCCUACGUAAUCUAUUUCCCUGUAAUAUUGUACAAUAUAUGUACAUAUCAUAUUUUACAACUUGUUUGUUACGUAUACUGAACAAACAUAUAAACACAACAUGCAACAAUUUCAAA